Hibiscus syriacus is the source of this 317-nucleotide long non-coding RNA. RefSeq lists it as uncharacterized. The record is from RefSeq and is a predicted model, not a curated record. The transcript is spliced from 3 exons. NCBI's taxonomy places the organism in Eukaryota, Viridiplantae, Streptophyta, Magnoliopsida, Malvales, Malvaceae.
ACGACUUGAUCGACUCUGAUUCUGGUCCGGUGAGGAGAGUAUUCAGCACCGGAGAUCUGCACCAGCAGUGUGGUAGGAGGGCAGAGAGUCCAUUGUCAAAUGAGAGUAAUGCCAUCAUUGAAGAAAUGAGCAGAGCCUGCCGCUACAGUCCCCAGGAAAAGAAACAGAGGAUUCAAAGAUAUCGAUUUAAAAGAAAUCUCCGCAACUUCAACAAGAAGAUUAAGUAUGCAUGUAGGAAAACAUUAGCAGACAGCAGGCCACGCAUCCGAGGACGCUUCAUUAGAAAUAAAGAAAUUCAAAACAAUCCUCAAGUUGAA